Non-coding RNA from Ictidomys tridecemlineatus (thirteen-lined ground squirrel), 72 nucleotides. The record is from Rfam. Lineage: Eukaryota; Metazoa; Chordata; Mammalia; Rodentia; Sciuridae.
GGGGAUGUGGCUCAGUGGUAGGGUACUUGCCUAGCAUGUGCAAGGUUUUGGGUUUCAUCCCCAGCACCUCCC